UAUGAGUAGAAAAUCAAACAUUUAUUUAUAAAAAAGUUUUACAUUUAAGAGUAUAGUUUUCUGUAGUUCAUAUUAUUCAUUCAAAUAUUAUUUAAAAUGACCACAACUCCAUUUUUGAAUUGGCACAAAUUACUAAGUAGUAAUAAGCAAAAGAUUUAACAGCGUACUCAGAACACUUCACCUGUUCACCAUUACCACUGGAAACAAACAAAAGAAUUAUUUCAUCGGAGCAGCGCCGGAGUAUUUUGAUCGGACCCUACCCGACCCGACAAAUCAAAAAUCAAUUUUUGGGUUUUAGGGUUUAUCUCAUGCUUUGCAAAUGGAUAUAGACACUGAUAUAUCUCGUUGGAUUCUCGAAUUCAUACUUCAACAACCACUCGAAGAUAACAGUCUCAACAAUCUCAUUAACAUUCUUCCAUUCCCAAACAACAAUUCAAACCUCAAAAAAGCCCUAAUCCUUAGAAAAAUCGAAUCCGAGAUUUCUAACGGUUGUGUUACUGAGAAAAUCCUCGAAUUUCUCGAAUUAAUUGAGGAACUUGAUCAUCAAGAAGGAAUUGAAGCUUCAAAUGUUAUGAAAACGGCGUAUUGUGCGGUUGCAGUGGAGUGUACUGUGAAGUUUUUGAAUUGUAAAGAGGCGGGAAGUGAUAAAGGAAAGUAUUUUGAAGCAGUAAGGAGGAUAUGGAAAAAAAGAAUUAAUUUAAUGGAAAAAAUGGAGAAUGUAGGCGUUGUAUCGGAAGAGUUAUGGAAUUGGAGAGAUGAAAUAGAAGCGGCUUUAUGGGAAGAUAGGUGUUUUGAUAAUGUGAUAAGGAGAAGUAAAUGUGUGUUUGCUGUUGAUAAGGUUAAGGUUUUUGUUGGGGAAGUUAAAGAGAGAAUGGGGUCUCCGUUUCUUGAUGUUGUGGCAGAAAAAUAUCGGACUGAUGAUACUAUGAAGGCGUUUUUUGGAGGGGUGAACGAUGACAGAGAAGUGCGCCAAGGAACUGGAUUGCCCAGGCAGAAACAUGUUGCUUUCAAACGCACCAGACGAGCAUCAGCUGGGACGUGUGGAGGUGUCAGGAUCAGUGAUUCUAUCGAGUCGGAACCUGAAGCAUCUAGUAGACAGGAUGAUUUACUGCCUUCACCUGCAAUCCAGAAAGCAGAUGAUACAUUGAAGGCAUUUGUUGGAGGAGUCAAUGAAGAAGGGACUUGCAGGAAAAGGGACAAAGAAGUUUGCCAAGGAAAAGCAUUGCCCAGGCAGAAGCAUGUUGCUUUCAAACGCACCAGAGGAGCAGUCAGGAUCAGUGAUUCAAUUGAGUCGGAACUUGAGGCAUAUGGUAGACAGGAUGAUUUACUGUCUUCACCUUUAAUCCAGUUAGCUGAGGAAGCGCUUAAAUUAAGUUCUUCAGAGCUGCGUGCUGUGGUGAAGGAUCCUCUACCUGAUGCGAUACGUCUUGCUGACACUUUGUCUUCUGUGGUAAGGGAUGAUACGGCUCAUCAGCCUGCCAAAAAUAACAGUGACAAAGCCCCUCAUCCAGUUGUUGCCGGUAGCAGAACGGUUCAAACUAGUGAGAAGAAUUGUGAGGCGCAGCAUAACUGUCAUCAUAGUGCUGCAUCCAGGCCAAACCGAGUGAACCGAAACAGUGCUGCCCAUACAUCGGAGGUUACUGCACUGAAAAAAUUGCUUGCCUCCAACCGUGCUGCCCAUACAUCUGAGUGGGACGAUUUGUUUGAUGAGUUAAAUGAAGGAUCACUAAGUGGCGUGAAUAGGGUUACAUUACCUAGCCCGAAGAGGACGAAAAUUUCUCCCUUGAAGAAGUAUGAAUUUAAAAAAAUCACCACGAGGAGAAAGCCCACGAAAUGGAGUACGUUGGAAGAAGACACUUUGAGAACUGGUGUACAGAUAUAUGGUUCCGGAAACUGGACGGUAAUCUUAGGUGCUUAUCGUGACAUAUUUGCAGUAAGGACAGCAGUUGACUUGAAGGACAAGUGGAGAAACAUGAUUUCAUAGAUAUUUAUUUUGAAGAAAUUUGCUAAUGUAUGAUGAAGGCCUUUUGUUUUCUUAAGCAGAGGUUGCUACUAUUAGAGAUGAGUAUCGUCUCUCGAUUUCUUCUUGGUUACUAUAUGGAGGUUCCAUCGAACCCUAAGAGCAUCUCGAGCCAGUCCUACAAUGGCGACUUGAUUUCAAAUAGCUCCUGUUUGCUAAUAGUU
Molecule: RNA transcript, 2184 nt
Organism: Lycium barbarum (goji berry)
Lineage: Eukaryota; Viridiplantae; Streptophyta; Magnoliopsida; Solanales; Solanaceae
Exons: 7
Source: RefSeq, a predicted model, not a curated record